UACAGAGGGUGCAAGCGUUGUUCGGAAUUAUUGGGCGUAAAGCGCGUGUAGGCGGCUUGGCAAGUCGGGUGUGAAAGCCCUCAGCUCAACUGAGGAAGUGCGCCCGAAACUGCUGAGCUUGAGUACCGGAGAGGGUGGCGGAAUUCCCCAAGUAGAGGUGAAAUUCGUAGAUAUGGGGAGGAACACCGGUGGCGAAGGCGGCAUCCUGGACCGGCAUUGACGCUGAGGAGCGAAAGCUAGGGGAGCAAACGGG
This 253-nucleotide ribosomal RNA is filed under the name uncultured bacterium. RNAcentral describes it as "partial 16S ribosomal RNA". It matches the Rfam family "Bacterial small subunit ribosomal RNA", at positions 524 to 776 of the family's 1533-position model. The record is from RNAcentral.